AUGCCAUGCUUAUGUGAUGGUUGUUUACCAUGUUGCUUGCUUCUUUCCGGUUUGCUUGUCUCGUUAGCUUCGGUUUCGUUUCGGAGUGUGAGGAUUCGUUCAACUAUGUCCGCUUGUCUUCUUCACGGACUCGUUUUUCUUCCUAGCAGGAUUUCAGGCAAGAUGACCAUACCCUCGAAAUCACUUCUAUCUUUGCUUGCUAGUUGUUCGCUCUAUUGCUAUGCCGCGCUACCUAUCACUUGCUAUAUCAUGCCUCCCAUGUUGCCAUGUCAAGCCUCUAACCCACCUUGCCUAGCAAACCGUUGUUUGGCUAUGUUACCGCUUUUGCUCAACCCCUCUUAUAGCGUUGUUAGUUGCAGGUGA
RNAcentral lists this ribosomal RNA (363 nucleotides) under Triticum aestivum (bread wheat). Its description in RNAcentral is "partial small subunit ribosomal RNA". The record is from RNAcentral. Lineage: Eukaryota; Viridiplantae; Streptophyta; Magnoliopsida; Poales; Poaceae.